UACGUAGGGUGCAAGCGUUAAUCGGAAUUACUGGGCGUAAAGCGUGCGCAGGCGGUUGUGCAAGUCUGAUGUGAAAUCCCCGGGCUUAACCUGGGAACUGCAUUGGAGACUGCACGGCUAGAGUGCGUCAGAGGGGGGUGGAAUUCCGCGUGUAGCAGUGAAAUGCGUAGAGAUGCGGAGGAACACCGAUGGCGAAGGCAGCCCCCUGGGAUGACACUGACGCUUAGGCGCGAAAGCGUGGGGAGCAAACAGG
Molecule: ribosomal RNA, 253 nt
Filed under: uncultured bacterium
Lineage: Bacteria
Description: partial 16S ribosomal RNA
Rfam family: Bacterial small subunit ribosomal RNA
Source: RNAcentral